This 253-nucleotide ribosomal RNA is filed under the name uncultured bacterium. RNAcentral describes it as "partial 16S ribosomal RNA". It matches the Rfam family "Bacterial small subunit ribosomal RNA", at positions 524 to 776 of the family's 1533-position model. The record is from RNAcentral.
UACGGGGGGGGCAAGCGUUGUUCGGAAUUACUGGGCGUAAAGGGCGCGUAGGCGGCCUUCUAAGUCGGACGUGAAAUCCCUCGGCUUAACCGAGGAACUGCGUCCGAGACUGAAAGGCUUGAAUCCGGGAGAGGGAUGUGGAAUUCCAGGUGUAGCGGUGAAAUGCGUAGAUAUGCGGAGGAACACCGAUGGCGAAGGCAAUCCCCUGGGCCUGCACUGACGCUCAUGCACGAAAGCGUGGGGAGCAAACAGG